This is a long non-coding RNA of Aethalodelphis obliquidens (Pacific white-sided dolphin), 132 nucleotides long. RefSeq lists it as uncharacterized. The transcript has 3 exons. Lineage: Eukaryota; Metazoa; Chordata; Mammalia; Artiodactyla; Delphinidae. The record is from RefSeq and is a predicted model, not a curated record.
AGUGGGUGUGUGUGUGUGUGGUGGGUGUGUUUGUGUGUGUGUGUGUGUGUAUGUUCCUGUAGUGUAAAAUACUUCGAAUUUCUAGAAGUAAGAUGGAAUACUAAUUUUUUUUUUUUUUUUGCUUAUCACUGU